AGAGCGAACGCUGGCGGCAGGCCUAACACAUGCAAGUCGAACGGACUCUUCGGAGUUAGUGGCGGACGGGUGAGUAACACGUGGGAACGUGCCUUUAGGUUCGGAAUAGCUCCUGGAAACGGGUGGUAAUACCGAAUGUGCCCUUCGGGGGAAAGAUUUAUCGCCUUUAGAGCGGCCCGCGUCUGAUUAGCUUGUUGGUGAGGUAAUGGCUCACCAAGGCUACGAUCAGUAGCUGGUCUGAGAGGAUGACCAGCCACAUUGGGACUGAGACACGGCCCAAACUCCUACGGGAGGCAGCAGUGGGGAAUCUUGCGCAAUGGGCGAAAGCCUGACGCAGCCAUGCCGCGUGUAUGAUGAAGGUCUUAGGAUUGAAAAUACUUUCACCGGUGAAGAUAAUGACUGUAGCCGGAGAAGAAGCCCCGGCUAACUUCGUGCCAGCAGCCGC
RNAcentral lists this ribosomal RNA (445 nucleotides) under uncultured soil bacterium. RNAcentral's name for it is "bacterial SSU rRNA". It matches the Rfam family "Bacterial small subunit ribosomal RNA", at positions 26 to 518 of the family's 1533-position model. The record is from RNAcentral.